UACAGAGGUCCCAAGCGUUACUGAGAAUCACUGGGUUUAAAGGGUGCGUAGGUGGUCCGUUAAGUCAGUUGUGAAAUCCCCGGGCUUAACCUGGGAAUGGCCUAUGUGACUGGCAGGCUAGAGGAUGGCAGAGGGAGGCGGAAUUCCACGUGUAGCAGUGAAAUGCAUAGAGAUGUGGAGGAACACCGAUGGCGAAGGCAGCCUCCUGGGCCAAUUCUGACGCUCAGGCACGAAAGCGUGGGGAUCAAACAGG
This 253-nucleotide ribosomal RNA is filed under the name uncultured bacterium. RNAcentral's name for it is "partial 16S ribosomal RNA". It matches the Rfam family "Bacterial small subunit ribosomal RNA", at positions 524 to 776 of the family's 1533-position model. The record is from RNAcentral.